Molecule: ribosomal RNA, 518 nt
Filed under: Cercotmetus sp. JD-2008
Lineage: Eukaryota; Metazoa; Arthropoda; Insecta; Hemiptera; Nepidae
Description: eukaryotic LSU rRNA
Rfam family: Eukaryotic large subunit ribosomal RNA
Source: RNAcentral
GGAGUCUGACAUGUGCGCGAGUCGUUGGGUCGUUAAACCUAAAGGCGUAAUCAAAGUGAAGGGGCGACUCCGUUCACUCCUAGGGAGGAUGGGCGCCGGCCGCAUGCCGGCCGUCGCCCCGCACUCCCGGGGCGUUUCUCACUCAUCGCGAGUCGAGGCGCACCCAGAGCGUACACGUCAGGACCCGAAAGAUGGUGAACUAUGCCCGGCCAGGACGAAGCCAGGGGAAACCCUGGUGGAGGUCCGCAGCGAUUCUGACGUGCAAAUCGAUCGUCGGAGCUGGGUAUAGGGGCGAAAGACUAAUCGAACCAUCUAGUAGCUGGUUCCCUCCGAAGUUUCCCUCAGGAUAGCUGGUGCCCGGGACGAGACGAGUCUCAUCCUGUAAAGCGAAUGAUUAGAGGAAUUGGGGGUCGAAACGACCUCAACCUAUUCUCAAACUUUAAAUAGAUGAGAACUCCGGCUUGCUUGAAAAGUGAAGCCCGAGACGAUGGAUCAGGGCACCCAGUGGGCCAAUUUUG